RNAcentral lists this ribosomal RNA (403 nucleotides) under bacterium. Its description in RNAcentral is "partial 16S ribosomal RNA". It matches the Rfam family "Bacterial small subunit ribosomal RNA", at positions 355 to 776 of the family's 1533-position model. The record is from RNAcentral.
UGGGGAAUAUUGCACAAUGGAGGGAACUCUGAUGCAGCGACGCCGCGUGAACGAAGAAGGCUUUCGAGUCGUAAAGUUCUUUUAUAUGGGAAGAUAAUGACGGUACCAUAAGAAAAAGCCCCGGCUAACUACGUGCCAGCAGCCGCGGUAAUACGUAGGGGGCUAGCGCUGUCCGGAAUCACUGGGCGUAAAGGGUUCGCAGGCGGAAAUGCAAGUCAGGUGUAAAAGGCAGUAGCUUAACUACUGUAAGCAUUUGAAACUGCAUAUCUUGAGAAGAGUAGAGGUAAGUGGAAUUUUUAGUGUAGCGGUGAAAUGCGUAGAUAUUAAAAAGAAUACCGGUGGCGAAGGCGGCUUACUGGGCUCAUUCUGACGCUGAGGAACGAAAGCGUGGGUAGCAAACAGG